Long non-coding RNA from Strongylocentrotus purpuratus (purple sea urchin), 143 nucleotides. RefSeq lists it as uncharacterized. The transcript has 3 exons. NCBI's taxonomy places the organism in Eukaryota, Metazoa, Echinodermata, Echinoidea, Camarodonta, Strongylocentrotidae. The record is from RefSeq and is a predicted model, not a curated record.
GGCCAUCUGAAUAAAUAUAUUUCCUAUGGGAACUCAGUGUUAUUUGCUCUGGCUCCUAAUGAUUUUAUCUCGGACAUUCAACGUUGCCUUUGCCCAACUCCGCGCAUUAAACAGUAGUUUAUUGAAUAGACCCCCCCCUUUUU